CUUGGUCAUUUAGAGGAAGUAAAAGUCGAACAAGGUCUCCGUUGGUGAACCAGCGGAGGGAUCAUUACCGAGUUUACAACUCCCAAACCCAUGUGAACAUUACCUCUAUGUUGCUUCGGCGGAGCCGCCCCGGCGCCCGGAACCCCCUGCGGUCCCGCGGCCCGGAACCAAGGCGCCCGCCGGAGGCCACAAACUCUUCUGUUUUUACAGUUUCUUCUGAGUGUGCCGCAAGGCAGUAUACAAAUGAAUCAAAACUUUCAACAACGGAUCUCUUGGUUCUGGCAUCGAUGAAGAACGCAGCGAAAUGCGAUAAGUAAUGUGAAUUGCAGAAUUCAGUGAAUCAUCGAAUCUUUGAACGCACAUUGCGCCCGCCAGAAUUCUGGCGGGCAUGCCUGUUCGAGCGUCAUUUCAACCCUCGAGCUCCCCUUUCGGGGGGAGCCCGGCGUUGGGGACCCGGCGCUAACAACGCCGGCCCCGAAAUGGAGUGGCGGCCCGUCCGCGGCGACCUCUGCGUAGUAACAACCACUCGCACCGGGACCCGGGCGCGGCCACGCCGUAAAACACCCCACCUUCCGAAUGUUGACCUCGAAUCAGGUAGGAAUACCCGCUGAACUUAAGCAUAUCAAUAAGCGGAGGA
Molecule: ribosomal RNA, 637 nt
Filed under: uncultured fungus
Lineage: Eukaryota; Fungi
Description: eukaryotic LSU rRNA
Rfam family: 5.8S ribosomal RNA (bases 253-406)
Source: RNAcentral